CCCUAGUAACUGCGAGUGAAGCGGGAAAAGCUCAAAUUUAAAAUCUGGCGGUCCUUGUGGCUGUCCGAGUUGUAAUCUAGAGAAGUGUUAUCCGCGCUGGACCGUGUACAAGUCUCCUGGAAUGGAGCGUCAUAGAGGGUGAGAAUCCCGUCUUUGACACGGACUGCCAGGGCUUUGUGAUGCGCUCUCAAAGAGUCGAGUUGUUUGGGAAUGCAGCUCAAAAUGGGUGGUAAAUUCCAUCUAAAGCUAAAUAUUGGCGAGAGACCGAUAGCGAACAAGUACCGUGAGGGAAAGAUGAAAAGAACUUUGGAAAGAGAGUUAAACAGUACGUGAAAUUGUUGAAAGGGAAACGCUUGAAGUCAGUCGCGUUGGCCGGGGAUCAACCUUGCUUUUGCUGGGCGUAUUUUCCGGUUGAUGGGUCAGCAUCAAUUUUGACCGUUGGAUAAAGGUUAGGGGAAUGUGGCAUCUUCGGAUGUGUUAUAGCCCUUGAUUGCAUACAACGGUUGGGAUUGAGGAACUCAGCACGCCGCAAGGCCGGGUAUUUAUACCACGUACGUGCUUAGGAUGCUGGCAUAAUGGCUUUAAUCGACCCGUCUUGAAACACGGACCAAGGAGUCUAACAUGCCUGCGAGUAUUUGGGUGGAAAACCCGGAUGCGCAAUGAAAGUGAUAGUUGAGAUCCCUGUCGCGGGGAGCAUCGACGCCCGGACUUGAUGUUUACUGACGGUUCCGCGGUAGAGCAUGUAUGUUGGGACCCGAAAGAUGGUGAACUAUGCCUGAAUAGGGUGAAGCCAGAGGAAACUCUGGUGGAGGCUCGUAGCGAUUCUGACGUGCAAAUCGAUCGUCGAAUUUGG
Molecule: ribosomal RNA, 853 nt
Filed under: Pseudoclitocybe obbata
Lineage: Eukaryota; Fungi; Basidiomycota; Agaricomycetes; Agaricales; Pseudoclitocybaceae
Description: LSU rRNA
Rfam family: Eukaryotic large subunit ribosomal RNA
Source: RNAcentral